This 370-nucleotide ribosomal RNA is filed under the name uncultured Thermoplasmatales archaeon. RNAcentral's name for it is "bacterial SSU rRNA". It matches the Rfam family "Archaeal small subunit ribosomal RNA", at positions 967 to 1338 of the family's 1478-position model. The record is from RNAcentral. Lineage: Archaea; Methanobacteriati; Thermoplasmatota; Thermoplasmata; Thermoplasmatales.
UUUACCUGAUUUUUCGAGAGGUGGUGCAUGGCCUCGUCAGUUCGUACCGUAAGGCGUUCUGUUAAGUCAGAUAACGAACGAGACCCUUCGCCCUUAAUUGCCAACCCAUUCUCCGGAGUGGGCGCACAUUAAGGGGACCGCUGGCGCUAAGUCAGAGGAAGGAGAGGUCAACGGUAGGUCAGUAUGCCCCGAAUCUCCCGGGCUACACGCGCGCUACAAAGGAUAGGACAAUGGGAUGCAAUACCGAGAGGUAACGCGAACCCCGAAACCUAUUCGUAGUUCGAACUGAGGGCUGUAACUCGCCCUCACGAAGCUGGAUUCCGUAGUAAUCGCGGGUCAACAUCCCGCGGUGAAUAUGUCCCUGCUCCUU